ACGCUCGACACCUACGGGAGCAGCAGUGGGGAAUAUUGCACAAUGGGGGAAACCCUGAUGCAGCGACGCCGCGUGAGCGAAGAAGUAUUUCGGUAUGUAAAGCUCUAUCAGCAGGGAAGAUAAUGACGGUACCUGACUAAGAAGCUCCGGCUAAAUACGUGCCAGCAGCCGCGGUAAUCUGAGCGGGCUGGCAAGGC
Molecule: ribosomal RNA, 197 nt
Filed under: uncultured bacterium
Lineage: Bacteria
Description: partial 16S ribosomal RNA
Rfam family: Bacterial small subunit ribosomal RNA
Source: RNAcentral